This is a non-coding RNA of Triticum aestivum (bread wheat), 139 nucleotides long. The record is from Rfam. NCBI's taxonomy places the organism in Eukaryota, Viridiplantae, Streptophyta, Magnoliopsida, Poales, Poaceae.
UUGCUAUUUCUUUCGUCUCAAAAAGCUAGUUUUACAUUUGUCUAGAUACGGAUGGAUGUAUUUAGACAUGUUUUAGUGCUAGAUUCAUUCGUAUCUAAAUAAAUAUAAGACACAUUUUUUGGGACGAAGGUAAUAUUAA